GAUGAACGCUGGCGGCGUGCCUAAUACAUGCAAGUCGAGCGAACGGACGAGAAGUUUGCUUCUCUGAUGUUAGCGGCGGACGGGUGAGUAACACGUGGAUAACCUACCUAUAAGACUGGGAUAACUUCGGGAAACCGGAGCUAAUACCGGAUAAUAUUUUGAACCGCAUGGUUCAAAAGUGAAAGACGGUCUUGCUGUCACUUAUAGAUGGAUCAGCGCUGCAUUAGCUAGUUGGUAAGGUAACGGCUUACCAAGGCAACGAUGCAUAGCCGACCUGAGAGGGUGAUCGGCCACACUGGAACUGAGACACGGUCCAGACUCCUGCGGGAGGCAGCAGUAGGGAAUCUUCCGCAAUGGGCGAAGGCCUGACGGAGCAACGCCGCGUGAGUGAUGAAGGUCUUCGGAUCGUAAAACUCUGUUAUGAGGGAAGAACAUAUGUGUAAGUAACUGUGCACAUCUUGACGGUACCUAAUCAGAAAGCCACGGCUAACUACGUG
RNAcentral lists this ribosomal RNA (497 nucleotides) under uncultured bacterium. RNAcentral's name for it is "partial 16S ribosomal RNA". It matches the Rfam family "Bacterial small subunit ribosomal RNA", at positions 28 to 507 of the family's 1533-position model. The record is from RNAcentral.